CCUACGUGUGGCAGCAGUGAGGAAUAUUGGUCAAUGGGCGCGAGCCUGAACCAGCCAAGUAGCGUGAAGGAUGACUGCCCUACGGGUUGUAAACUUCUUUUAUAAAGGAAUAAAGUGAGGCACGUGUGCCUUUUUGUAUGGACUUUAUGAAUAAGGAGCGGCUAACUCCGUGCCAGCAGCCGCGGUAAUACGGAGGAGCCGAGCGUUAUCCGGAUUUAGUGGGGUUAAAGGGAGCGUAGAUGGGUUGGUAAGUCAGUUGUGAAGGUUUGCGGCUCAACCGUAAAAUUGCAAUUGAUACGGGCAGCCUUGAGUACAGUUGAGGUAGGCGGCAUUCGUGGUGUAGCG
RNAcentral lists this ribosomal RNA (345 nucleotides) under uncultured bacterium. RNAcentral's name for it is "partial 16S ribosomal RNA". It matches the Rfam family "Bacterial small subunit ribosomal RNA", at positions 338 to 680 of the family's 1533-position model. The record is from RNAcentral.